UGGGGAAUAUUGGACAAUGGGCGCAAGCCUGAUCCAGCCAUGCCGCGUGAGUGAUGAAGGCCCUAGGGUUGUAAAGCUCUUUCACCGGUGAAGAUAAUGACGGUAACCGGAGAAGAAGCCCCGGCUAACUUCGUGCCAGCAGCCGCGGUAAUACGAAGGGGGCUAGCGUUGUUCGGAUUUACUGGGCGUAAAGCGCACGUAGGCGGACUUUUAAGUCAGGGGUGAAAUCCCGGGGCUCAACCCCGGAACUGCCUUUGAUACUGGAAGUCUUGAGUAUGGUAGAGGUGAGUGGAAUUCCGAGUGUAGAGGUGAAAUUCGUAGAUAUUCGGAGGAACACCAGUGGCGAAGGCGGCUCACUGGACCAUUACUGACGCUGAGGUGCGAAAGCGUGGGGAGCA
This 398-nucleotide ribosomal RNA is filed under the name Pseudomonas sp. Its description in RNAcentral is "partial 16S ribosomal RNA". It matches the Rfam family "Bacterial small subunit ribosomal RNA", at positions 355 to 770 of the family's 1533-position model. Lineage: Bacteria; Pseudomonadati; Pseudomonadota; Gammaproteobacteria; Pseudomonadales; Pseudomonadaceae. RNAcentral also lists the same sequence under 2 other names. The record is from RNAcentral.